RNAcentral lists this ribosomal RNA (465 nucleotides) under uncultured bacterium. Its description in RNAcentral is "partial 16S ribosomal RNA". It matches the Rfam family "Bacterial small subunit ribosomal RNA", at positions 28 to 507 of the family's 1533-position model. The record is from RNAcentral.
GACGAACGCUGGCGGCGUGCUUAACACAUGCAAGUCGAACGGAAAGGCCCUGCUUGCAGGGUACUCGAGUGGCGAACGGGUGAGUAACACGUGGGUGAUCUGCCCUGCACUUCGGGAUAAGCUUGGGAAACUGGGUCUAAUACCGGAUAGGAACCAUCUUUAGUGUGGUGGUUGGAAAGUUUUUUCGGUGUAGGAUGAGCUCGCGGCCUAUCAGCUUGUUGGUGGGGUGAUGGCCUACCAAGGCGGCGACGGGUAGCCGGCCUGAGAGGGUGUACGGCCACAUUGGGACUGAGAUACGGCCCAGACUCCUACGGGAGGCAGCAGUGGGGAAUAUUGCACAAUGGGCGCAAGCCUGAUGCAGCGACGCCGCGUGGGGGAUGAAGGCCUUCGGGUUGUAAACUCCUUUCGCUAGGGACGAAGCUUUUUGUGACGGUACCUAGAUAAGAAGCACCGGCUAACUACGUG